CACCCCUUGGAUACUCUCAUACCCAUGACUGCUUUCAAACCCUUCCAAGAAAAAAUUAUGGGUUGGCUUGAAUUCUUGCAAAGAAAACUCAGUUGAGUAAACUGUAUUUGAAUCAACUACAGGCAUCGAGAUGAAAGAAUCCAAUCCCCUUGUACUCAUACCAGUCUUGAGAAGCUCCAUGGCUGAUACAUGAUGAGAUGGUGUUAAUGAUGAAGAAGAGCUGGGUUUUAGAUUGUGGGUUUUGCUUCCGCUGGUAUAAGGUACCUCAACAAACUUAGAAAUAUUACCAUGAUCUUCAGUUGAAGGGGGAUAAGCUAGGUUGAGAUCUCUGCCUUGAUAGAUCUUAGGGUUUUGAUGAGAAAGUUGUGGGUUGGUGAGAUCAGGAAGCAAUUUCUUUGAUGAAGAUGAAGAAGUUGAUGACGAUGAUGAUGAUCUCUUGUUCUUUCUUGAACCUCCACCUACAGGAACAUUUCUUAGAGAACCACCUUCAGUCCAGUACCUUCUACAAGUUUUGCAGAAGUAUCUUGGCUGAGAGAGACUAUAAUUGUUGUAGUAACAGAAUUUUGUGUUGGUUGAAUUGCACCUUGGGCAAUUCAAAGCUUGAUCCUUUUGAGGC
This 616-nucleotide unclassified non-coding RNA is filed under the name Hevea brasiliensis (rubber tree). Lineage: Eukaryota; Viridiplantae; Streptophyta; Magnoliopsida; Malpighiales; Euphorbiaceae. The record is from RNAcentral.